CCGUGUAAUCCCGAGCACACCUGAUUUCAUCUGGUCUCUGAUGAUUAGUGGGAUCAGGCUACCUUGGCCUUGGAUGGGAGACUGUGGGGAAGUUGCAGAUG
Ribosomal RNA from Cercocebus atys (sooty mangabey), 101 nucleotides. The record is from Ensembl. NCBI's taxonomy places the organism in Eukaryota, Metazoa, Chordata, Mammalia, Primates, Cercopithecidae.